CAGCAGUAGGGAUCUUCCGCAUGGACGAAAGUCUGACGGAGCAACGCCGCGUGAGUGAUGAAGGUUUUCGGAUCGUAAAACUCUGUUAUUAGGGAAGAACAAAUGCGUAAGUAACUGUGCGCAUCUUGACGGUACCUAAUCAGAAAGCCACGGCUAACUACGUGCCAGCAGCCGCGGUAAUACGUAGGUGGCAAGCGUUAUCCGGAAUUAUUGGGCGUAAAGCGCGCGUAGGCGGUUUCUUAAGUCUGAUGUGAAAGCCCACGGCUCAACCGUGGAGGGUCAUUGGAAACUGGGAAACUUGAGUACAGAAGAGGAAAGUGGAAUUCCAUGUGUAGCGGUGAAAUGCGCAGAGAUAUGGAGGAACACCAGUGGCGAAGGCGACUUUCUGGUCUGUAACUGACGCUGAUGUGCGAAAGCGUGGGGAUCAAACAGGAUUAGAUACCCUGGUAGUCCACGCCGUAAACGAUGAGUGCUAAGUGUUAGGGGGUUUCCGCCCCUUAGUGCUGCAGCUAACGCAUUAAGCACUCCGCCUGGGGAGUACGACCGCAAGGUUGAAACUCAAAGGAAUUGACGGGGCCCCC
This 581-nucleotide ribosomal RNA is filed under the name Staphylococcus sp. RNAcentral describes it as "bacterial SSU rRNA". It matches the Rfam family "Bacterial small subunit ribosomal RNA", at positions 349 to 923 of the family's 1533-position model. The record is from RNAcentral. Lineage: Bacteria; Bacillati; Bacillota; Bacilli; Caryophanales; Staphylococcaceae.